Long non-coding RNA from Rhagoletis zephyria (snowberry fruit fly), 536 nucleotides. RefSeq lists it as uncharacterized. Lineage: Eukaryota; Metazoa; Arthropoda; Insecta; Diptera; Tephritidae. The record is from RefSeq and is a predicted model, not a curated record.
AUUCGUGUCACCAUGGUGAAUAUAUAUUUGUGUUUAUUUUUCUUCUGGUUACGCGAAACAGGCAGAAUUUUAUAUGUCAGCAUGAACAAGAUUGUCCAAGGAGCAACUGAAUCAUGUUGGAAGAUUUUUAAAACAUAUUGGCGGUAUGCUGUUUUCCUGCUGGAUGCCCGCAAUCUCAUUUGCUAAAUGUAUAUGCAACGCACACUGCCACUCGAAGGAUUUUCAUUAUUGAGCAAUUAUGUAGCAAAAACGCAGGGGAACCAUACAAGAUUUCGGAUUGCUCUUUGGGUGCGAUGAUUGUUGAGAGGCAAUGGCUACCGAAAUUUUCGCAACACAAAAUAACACGAACCACCGCUAUCAAGGUACAUACGUGUAUCGAAUAUAAUUUGGCGAAGACUCAAACAAUGGCAUCUUCACCCAACAUGACAUGUCAUCCACGUCGCUGUGAGCUAAAGAAAUUAUGUGAUUCACGAGCCGGGUUCCAACUUUCGCUAUCGCUAAAAUGCUAAAAUUGCCUUGCCUAAAUUUGAGUAUUU